UGGGAAGUAUUGCAUCAAUGGCGGCAGGCCUGGACUGCAGCCAUGCCGCGCUGUAUGAAGAAGGCCAAUUCGGGCUUUGGUUAAAGAUACUUUCAGCGAGGAGGAAGGCAUUAAGGUUAAUAACCUUAGUGAUUGACGUUACUCGCAGAAGAAGCACCGGCUAACUCCGUGCCAGCAGCCGCGGUAAUACGGAGGGUGCAAGCGUUAAUCGGAAUUACUGGGCGUAAAGCGCACGCAGGCGGUCUGUCAAGUCGGAUGUGAAAUCCCCGGGCUCAACCUGGGAACUGCAUCCGAAACUGGCAGGCUAGAGUCUUGUAGAGGG
This 322-nucleotide ribosomal RNA is filed under the name uncultured Enterobacteriaceae bacterium. RNAcentral's name for it is "bacterial SSU rRNA". It matches the Rfam family "Bacterial small subunit ribosomal RNA", at positions 355 to 658 of the family's 1533-position model. The record is from RNAcentral. Lineage: Bacteria; Pseudomonadati; Pseudomonadota; Gammaproteobacteria; Enterobacterales; Enterobacteriaceae.